Molecule: ribosomal RNA, 493 nt
Filed under: uncultured bacterium
Lineage: Bacteria
Description: partial 16S ribosomal RNA
Rfam family: Bacterial small subunit ribosomal RNA
Source: RNAcentral
GACGAACGCUGGCGGCGUGCUUAACACAUGCAAGUCGAACGGUGAAGCACCUUCCUUUUGGUGGGCGUGGAUGAGUGGCGAACGGGUGAGUAACACGUGAGUAACCUGCCCCCUUCUUCUGGAUAACCGCAUGAAAGUGUGGCUAAUACGGGAUAUUCUGGGUCUGUCGCAUGGCGGGCCGGGGAAAGAUAUUGUUUCGGUGGGGGAUGGGCUCGCGGUCUAUCAGCGUGUUGGUGGGGUGAUGGCCUACCAAGGCGGUGACGGGUAGCCGGCCUGGGAGGGUGGACGGCCACACAGGGACUGAGACACGGCCGAGACUCAUACGCGGGGCAGAAGUGGGGAAUAUUGCACAGUGGGGGCAAGCCUGAUGCAGCGACGCCGCGUGAGGGAUGGAGGCCUUCGGGUUGUAAACCUCUUUGGCCAGUGAAGCAGGCCUGUCCCUUUUGUAGGUGGGUUGACGGUAGCUGGAUAAGAAGCGCCGGCUAACUACGUG